RNAcentral lists this transfer RNA (98 nucleotides) under Trichuris muris. RNAcentral's name for it is "snRNA TMUE_0100000596". It matches the Rfam family "tRNA". Rfam says of the family: Transfer RNA (tRNA) molecules are approximately 80 nucleotides in length. Lineage: Eukaryota; Metazoa; Nematoda; Enoplea; Trichinellida; Trichuridae. The record is from RNAcentral.
GCCCCAGUGGCGCAACCGGUUAGCGCGUCGUACUUAUAAGCAGUACAGAACCUGCUAACGCAAUGCGAAGGUUGUGAGUUCGAUCCUCACCUGGGGCA